GUCGAGAUGUCUGCGAGAAAGUCUGGACCAUACAAGUUUAAGGCGAUUAAGUCUCAAGCAGGUGACCCCCAACGAAAUUCAUCUGUACAGUAUUUCUUCAGUCUCCCUGUGGUUCCACAAAUCACAGUUCCAAGGCCCGUGGCUGCCACUCGCUCCUCGUUGCCUGCCAGUCUCCCAGGAAGACAGGAGCGGCCUGCUACCUCCACACCAUGUGCGCCCCAACUGAGCCAACGCCCUUCACAGCCUCUGGAUGGUUGUGAUGAUGAUAUUGAUGACUUUGAUCUCAACAGUAGCUUUGUCACUGAGCCAGUCCGUCGGGCGGCGAAGACGGUGGCGGCGGACGCCCUCGCUGCCGACCGGCCGGUCCGCGCCGCCGACGGCCACCAGCUGGCGUCGGCGGCCGGGGAGGGCCCUGGCUCGGGACCGAAGGGCAGCGGGGACAGUGACUGCG
Pollicipes pollicipes is the source of this 451-nucleotide long non-coding RNA. RefSeq lists it as uncharacterized. Lineage: Eukaryota; Metazoa; Arthropoda; Thecostraca; Pollicipedomorpha; Pollicipedidae. The record is from RefSeq and is a predicted model, not a curated record. The transcript has 3 exons.